GAUGAACGCUGGCGGCGUGCCUAAUACAUGCAAGUCGAGCGAACAGAUGAGGAGCUUGCUCCUCUGACGUUAGCGGCGGACGGGUGAGUAAUACGUGGAUAACCUACCUAUAAGACUGGGAUAACUUCGGGAAACCGGAGCUAAUACCGGAUAAUAUAUUGAACCGCAUGGUUCAAUAGUGAAAGACGGUUUUGCUGUCACUUAUAGAUGGAUCCGCGCCGCAUUAGCUAGUUGGUAAGGUAACGGCUUACCAAGGCAACGAUGCGUAGCCGACCUGAGAGGGUGAUCGGCCACACUGGAACUGAGACACGGUCCAGACUCCUACGGGAGGCAGCAGUAGGGAAUCUUCCGCAAUGGGCGAAAGCUUGACGGAGCAACGCCGCGUGAGUGAUGAAGGUCUUCGGAUCGUAAAACUCUGUUAUUAGGGAAGAACAAAUGUGUAAGUAACUAUGCACGUCUUGACGGUACCUAAUCAGAAAGCCACGGCUAACUACGUG
Molecule: ribosomal RNA, 497 nt
Filed under: uncultured bacterium
Lineage: Bacteria
Description: partial 16S ribosomal RNA
Rfam family: Bacterial small subunit ribosomal RNA
Source: RNAcentral